AGUCGAACGGGCUUUGGGGCUUGCUCCAAAGUUAGUGGCGAACGGGUGAGUAAUAUAUCGGAACAUGUCCGGAAGUGGGGGAUAACGUAGCGAAAGUUACGCUAAUACCGCAUAUGCCCUGAGGGGGAAAGGGGGAGAUCGCAAGACCUCUCGCUUUCGGAGUGGCCGAUAUCGGAUUAGCUAGUAGGUGAGGUAAAGGCUCACCUAGGCGACAAUCCGUAGCUGGUCUGAGAGGACGACCAGCCACACUGGAACUGAGACACGGUCCAGACUCCUACGGGAGGCAGCAGUGGGGAAUUUUGGACAAUGGGCGAAAGCCUGAUCCAGCCAUACCGCGUGAGUGAAGAAGGCCUUCGGGUUGUAAAGCUCUUUCAGCCGGAAAGAAAUCGCAUCUAUUAAUACUAGGUGCGGAUGACGGUACCGGAAGAAGAAGCACCGGCUAACUACGUGCCAGCAGCCGCGGUAAUACGUAGGGUGCGAGCGUUAAUCGGAAUUACUGGGCGUAAAGCGUGCGCAGGCGGUUUUUUAAGCCAGAUGUGAAAUCCCCGGGCUUAACCUGGGAACUGCAUUUGGAACUGGAAGACUAGAGUGUGGCAGAGGGGGGUAGAAUUCCACGUGUAGCAGUGAAAUGCGUAGAUAUGUGGAGGAAUACCGAUGGCGAAGGCAGCCCCCUGGGUCAACACUGACGCUCAUGCACGAAAGCGUGGGGAGCAAACAGGAUUAGAUACCCUGGUAGUCCACGCCCUAAACGAUGUCAACUAGGUGUUGGGGAAGGAGACUUCUUUAGUACCGCAGCUAACG
This 801-nucleotide ribosomal RNA is filed under the name uncultured bacterium. RNAcentral's name for it is "bacterial SSU rRNA". It matches the Rfam family "Bacterial small subunit ribosomal RNA", at positions 60 to 857 of the family's 1533-position model. The record is from RNAcentral.